AAACUAACAAGGAUUCCCCUAGUAACUGCGAGUGAAGCGGGAAAAGCUCAAAUUUAAAAUCUGGCGGUCUUCGGCCGUCCGAGUUGUAAUCUGGAGAAGCGUUUUCCGCGCCGGACCGUGUACAAGUCUCUUGGAACAGAGCGUCAUAGAGGGUGAGAAUCCCGUCUUUGACACGGACUACCGGUGCUAUGUGAUGCGCUCUCGAUGAGUCGAGUUGUUUGGGAAUGCAGCUCAAAAUGGGUGGUAAAUUCCAUCUAAAGCUAAAUAUUGGCGAGAGACCGAUAGCGAACAAGUACCGUGAGGGAAAGAUGAAAAGCACUUUGGAAAGAGAGUUAAACAGUACGUGAAAUUGCUGAAAGGGAAACGAUUGAAGUCAGUCGCGUGUGCUAGAACUCAGCCUUGCUUUUGCUUGGUGCAUUUUCUAGUGUACGGGCCAGCAUCAGUUUUGGCCGCCGGAAAAAGGCCUUGGGAAUGUGGCACCUUCGGGUGUGUUAUAGCCCUUGGUUGUAUACGGUGGCUGGGACUGAGGAACAUAGCAUGCCUUUACGGCGGGGCUUCGGCCACCUUCAUGCUUUGGAUGCUGGCGUAAUGGCUUUAAACGACC
This 604-nucleotide ribosomal RNA is filed under the name Bjerkandera adusta. RNAcentral's name for it is "LSU rRNA". It matches the Rfam family "Eukaryotic large subunit ribosomal RNA", at positions 62 to 649 of the family's 3401-position model. Lineage: Eukaryota; Fungi; Basidiomycota; Agaricomycetes; Polyporales; Phanerochaetaceae. The record is from RNAcentral.